CCCUUAGAUGUUCUGGGCCGCACGCGUGCUACACUGAGUGGAUCAGCGGGUCAGGUUGCGCGAAAGUGUUUCCUAAUCUUUAAAUCCGCUCGUGAUGGGGAUUGACGGUUGCAAUUCUCCGUCAUGAACGAGGAAUGCCUUGUAAGCGCGGGUCAUCAUCCCGCGCUGAAUACGUCCCUGCCCUUUGUACACACCGCCCGUCGCUCCUACCGAUUGAGUGGUCCGGUGAGGCUUUGGGAUCUGAGCGGAAAGAGCGUUUCGCUGUUUCUGCCCGGAAAACUCAGUCGAACCUUAUCAUUUAGAGGAAGGAGAAGUCGUAACA
This 322-nucleotide ribosomal RNA is filed under the name uncultured eukaryote. RNAcentral's name for it is "partial 18S ribosomal RNA". It matches the Rfam family "Eukaryotic small subunit ribosomal RNA", at positions 1470 to 1796 of the family's 1831-position model. The record is from RNAcentral.